UACGUAGGGGGCAAGCGUUGUCCGGAAUCAUUGGGCGUAAAGAGCGCGUAGGCGGCCCGGUAAGUCCGCUGUGAAAGUCCAGGGCUCAACCCUGGGAUGCCGGUGGAUACUGUCGGGCUCGAGUCCGGAAGAGGAGUGUGGAAUUCCUGGUGUAGCGGUGAAAUGCGCAGAUAUCAGGAGGAACACCAGUGGCGAAGGCAGCACUCUGGGACGUGACUGACGCUGAGACGCGAAAGCGUGGGGAGCAAACAGG
This 253-nucleotide ribosomal RNA is filed under the name uncultured bacterium. Its description in RNAcentral is "partial 16S ribosomal RNA". It matches the Rfam family "Bacterial small subunit ribosomal RNA", at positions 524 to 776 of the family's 1533-position model. The record is from RNAcentral.